GUGGGGAAUCUUGCGCAAUGGGCGAAAGCCUGACGCAGCCAUGCCGCGUGCAGGAAGAAGGCGCUACGCGUUGUAAACUGCUUUUAACCGGGAAGAAACCCCAGGACGUGUCCUGGGUUGACGGUACCGGAGGAAUAAGCACCGGCUAACUUCGUGCCAGCAGCCGCGGUAAUACGAAGGGUGCAAGCGUUAUCCGGAUUCAUUGGGUUUAAAGGGUGCGUAGGCGGAGCGUAAAGUCAGUGGUGAAAUCCUGCAGCUUAACUGUAGACUUGCCAUUGAUACUGGCGCUCUUGAGUGCGCUUGAAGUGGGCGGAAUGUGCCGUGUAGCGGUGAAAUGCUUAGAUAUGGCACAGAACACCAAUUGCGAAGGCAGCUCACUAAGGCGAUACUGACGCUGAGGCACGAAAGCGUGGGGAUCGAACAGGAUUAGAAACCCGUGUAGUCC
Molecule: ribosomal RNA, 445 nt
Filed under: uncultured bacterium
Lineage: Bacteria
Description: partial 16S ribosomal RNA
Rfam family: Bacterial small subunit ribosomal RNA
Source: RNAcentral